AAUCUUCAGUGGAGCAGGAAGUGCUGACAUCUGCACAGUUUCCCAGAAGACAACUGCGUUUAUUUGUUGUCAUAGCAACGUAGGAACUUGAAAGCCCUCGUAAUGUAUGAGGGGUUUCUUUCUCACUCCAGCGUAAAAAGAGGUGAGUUUAGCAGAAACUCAUUUUUUUUUGUUUUGAGAGUUUGUUUCGCUGAACAUCACGCAAAACUUGUAAACGCAUAAACGUCAAUUUUAAUGUCAACUUUUCUGGAAUUUCCACAGGGAUGUCCGCUGAAGCGCGAGAGCACGAGCCUCUUCCGGUGAAGCCUUCCCGCUCCACGGUGGAUUUCAAAGAUCCUGACAUUCAUCACAGACAAAGGGAUGUAAAGAAACCCAGACGAGCGUCUGGUCAAAGACGGUGGUUCCUGGGUUUGGAGACCGAGUCCGAGUUGGUUUGGGAGGAUUGGGAGCCAGGCGGAAAGUUCACAAAGUCACUGGUGUUGAGGAACGUCCGCAACAAGCUGCACAAACUAAGCAUAAGGUUUUCUAAAAUCAUAUUUAAAGUCUCGCUCUGCUCCAGAAGGACGCCCUCACGUGAAUGUUUCGUUCUCCUUACAGACCUCCAGAAUCCGGGUUUUUCCAAACCUUUGUUCCUCACACGGUUCUUCUAAGUCCUGGGAUUUCUUACUCCAUUCCGGUCACUUUCAGACCUCUUCAGAAAGUGAGACAUUCCAGCAAUUAUAUCCUUAACGUCCUGACAAUUAGAGAAAAAAUAUGUUUUGUCAAUUUCUUCUUUAUUGACCAAAACUACAAUUUAUAUUUCAUUUCAUUUCAUUUUAUUUAUUUAUUUCAUUUUCAAGCACACAUAAGAAGUUUUACC
Molecule: long non-coding RNA, 859 nt
Filed under: Oryzias javanicus (javanese ricefish)
Lineage: Eukaryota; Metazoa; Chordata; Actinopteri; Beloniformes; Adrianichthyidae
Description: lncRNA (ENSOJAG00000022728.1)
Source: RNAcentral